GACAGGAGGCCUCGAGCGUUAGGCGGAAUCACUGGGCUUAAAGCGUGUGUAGGCGGGCCCGUAAAGUGUCUUGUGAAAUCCCGCGGCUCAACCGUGGAACUGCUGGGCAUACUGCGGGUCUGGGCCGAACUAGGGGCAGCCGGGAACAAGCGGUGGAGCGGUGAAAUGCGUAGACUAUCGCUGGAACGCCGAAGGUGAAACAGGCUGCUGGG
Molecule: ribosomal RNA, 212 nt
Filed under: uncultured bacterium
Lineage: Bacteria
Description: partial 16S ribosomal RNA
Rfam family: Bacterial small subunit ribosomal RNA
Source: RNAcentral